AUUGAACGCUGGCGGCAUGCCUUACACAUGCAAGUCGAACGGCAGCACGGGGGGUAACCCCUGGUGGCGAGUGGCGAACGGGUGAGUAAUAUAUCGGAACGUGUCCUGUAGCGGGGGAUAACCUAUCGAAAGAUGGACUAAUACCGCAUACGACCUACGGGUGAAAGCGGAGGACCGCAAGGCUUCGCACUAUAGGAGCGGCCGAUAUCGGAUUAGCUAGUUGGCGGGGUAACGGCCCACCAAGGCGACGAUCCGUAGCUGGUCUGAGAGGACGAUCAGCCGCACUGGAACUGAGACACGGUCCAGGCUCCGAGGGGAGGCAGCAGUGGGGAAUUUUGGACAAUGGGCGCAAGCCUGAUCCAGCCAUGCCGCGUGAGUGAAGAAGGCCUUCGGGUUGUAAAGCUCUUUCGGCGGGGACGAAACGGUUCGUGCUAAUACCACGGACUACUGACGGUACCCGCAGAAGAAGCACCGGCUAACUACGUG
Molecule: ribosomal RNA, 486 nt
Filed under: uncultured bacterium
Lineage: Bacteria
Description: partial 16S ribosomal RNA
Rfam family: Bacterial small subunit ribosomal RNA
Source: RNAcentral